Xyrichtys novacula (pearly razorfish) is the source of this 751-nucleotide non-coding RNA. NCBI's taxonomy places the organism in Eukaryota, Metazoa, Chordata, Actinopteri, Labriformes, Labridae. The record is from the annotation of a GenBank genome assembly.
UGCAGAUAUUUCUGUUUAUGGAUUUGUUUUGUUCAUUAAAAUAACCAACCUGUGUUUCUGUGUUGACCAGUGACACUGCGUCAGAGGCUUCUAACGCAGAAAACUGCUGCCCAAAGAACUUUUGGCUGCACAGGCUGUUUGGUCAACCUCUGGUAUGUUUCAGAGCUGUUAAAAUAAGAUCAUUUUAUAAAUGUGACAUUUAAAAUCAGACACUAAAAAUAUUUGACACAGUGGGUUUUCAUUUUUAUAUUUGUUGUUACUCCACAGAGAAAAGUCACAAGUCUAAUCAGCCAUCAGCGGAGGUGAGUAAACUGCUCCAACAAUCAGCUGUUUAUUUGUGCAGCCACAAAAGAUAAAUGUUGACUAGUCACUGCAGACUCCUUUAAAAACAUCACUACAGGUUGUUAAAACAAAUGUCACCACACGGUAAUGGUGUGUGCUUGUGUCUGCAGAGAUUUCACCUCCAAGGGUCUGGCUGGCUCCACAGCAUCCCCACCUGGGGAGAAAAACAAGAAACCAAAGGAGAAGAAAUGGAGUUGUUCUUGGUUUUUUAAGUGAUGUAGUGUAAGUAAAGCAUAGGAAUACCAGUCUGGACUUCAGUGUUGUUAUAAGCAUUAGUUUUGGUUUAUCUUUCAGUUGAUCCUGUUACUGACAAAUCAAAACUAUUUUUACUCCAUUAGAGAGAAAAGCGUGUGUCUCCUCUCUCUGAUCAUAAAGAUCAGCAAAAGCCUCCUCGGGAACUCCAGAGAUG